RNAcentral lists this unclassified non-coding RNA (291 nucleotides) under uncultured Helotiales. RNAcentral's name for it is "sequence contains ITS1". The stretch from base 1 to 105 matches the Rfam family "5.8S ribosomal RNA", at positions 50 to 154 of the family's 154-position model. The record is from RNAcentral. Lineage: Eukaryota; Fungi; Ascomycota; Leotiomycetes; Helotiales.
GAAAUGCGAUAAGUAAUGUGAAUUGCAGAAUUCAGUGAAUCAUCGAAUCUUUGAACGCACAUUGCGCCCUCUGGUAUUCCGGGGGGCAUGCCUGUUCGAGCGUCAUUACAACCCUCAAGCUUUGCUUGGUAUUGGGCACCACCAUUCUUGGUGUGCCUCAAAGUCAUUGGCGGUGCCACCUGGCUUCUAGCGUAGUAAUACUUCUCGCUAUGGAGUUUAGGCAAGUGUUUGCCACCAACCCCUAAUUUCAAGAUUGACCUCGGAUCAGGUAGGGAUACCCGCUGAACUUAA